Molecule: ribosomal RNA, 368 nt
Filed under: Triticum aestivum (bread wheat)
Lineage: Eukaryota; Viridiplantae; Streptophyta; Magnoliopsida; Poales; Poaceae
Description: partial small subunit ribosomal RNA
Source: RNAcentral
CUCCGACGUUCAGGGAAGGCACAGAUCGAGAGGAGGACGGCGAGAUGCAGUGUUGCACGGAGCAGCCGCCUCCUCACGCCUUUCGUCAAAGCCACCCGACUGAUGCUGCUUGCACACGUGCUUGACCACCUGUUGCUGUCGUGGCCGAGGAAGAGGAGCAGCAGCGGCGGCCGGGGCUGUUGUUGCUUGCGCGUGCUUGCUGCUGCUUGGUGCUUCGGCCGAUGCUUGCGGCUGCGCCGCUGCUGUCCGGCGAGGAGCAGCGAGUGUAGCCUGCUGCUGCUGCUUGGAAGAAGAAGAAGAAGAAGAAGAAGAAGGGGACAGGACCUGUGGCGGCGCGAGGAGCGGCGUCUCCGGCGAGGAGCGGCGAC